CCUACGGGUGGCAGCAGUGAGGAAUAUUGGUCAAUGGACGAGAGUCUGAACCAGCCAAGUAGCGUGAAGGAUGACUGCUCUCUGGGUUGUAAACUUCUUUUAUAUGGGAGUAAAAUGUUCCACGUGUGGGAUUUGGUAUGUACCAUAUCAAUCAAGCUGCGCUAACUCCGUGCCAGCAGCCGCGGUAAUACGGAGGAACCGAGCGUUAUCCGGAUUUAUUGGGCUUAAAGGGAGCGUAGGUGGAUUGUUAAGUCAGAUGUGAAAGUUUGCGGCUCAACCGUAAAAUUGAAGUUGAAACUGGCAGUCUUGAGUACAGUAGAGGUGGGCGGAAUUCGUGGUGUAGCGGUGAAAU
This 352-nucleotide ribosomal RNA is filed under the name uncultured bacterium. RNAcentral's name for it is "partial 16S ribosomal RNA". It matches the Rfam family "Bacterial small subunit ribosomal RNA", at positions 338 to 687 of the family's 1533-position model. The record is from RNAcentral.